Molecule: ribosomal RNA, 468 nt
Filed under: uncultured bacterium
Lineage: Bacteria
Description: partial 16S ribosomal RNA
Rfam family: Bacterial small subunit ribosomal RNA
Source: RNAcentral
GACGAACGCUGGCGGCGUGCUUAACACAUGCAAGUCGAACGGAAAGGCCCUGCUUUUGUGGGGUGCUCGAGUGGCGAACGGGUGAGUAACACGUGAGUAACCUGCCCUUGACUUUGGGAUAACUUCAGGAAACUGGGGCUAAUACCGGAUAGGAGCUCCUGCUGCAUGGUGGGGGUUGGAAAGUUUCGGCGGUUGGGGAUGGACUCGCGGCUUAUCAGCUUGUUGGUGGGGUAGUGGCUUACCAAGGCUUUGACGGGUAGCCGGCCUGAGAGGGUGACCAGCCACAUUGGGACUGAGAUACGGCCCAGACGGCUACGGGAGGCAGCAGUGGGGAAUAUUGCACAAUGGGCGGAAGCCAGAUACAGCAACGCCGCGUGCGGAAUGACGGCCUUCGGGUUGUGAACCGCUUUCGCCUGUGACGAAGCGUGAGUGACGGUAAUGGGUAAAGAAGCACCGGCUAACUACGUG